UUGGGUUGUAAUCAAUGCGCUAAAAUGUCGUCCGAUUAUAGCAAGGCAUCUUUGUCACAAAUACUGAUUUUAUUUUCCCUGUAUAAUGUUAACAAGUUAAUGAUAUUAUCCGUCAUAUUAUGGAGUGGUUCAUUUUUUUGACUAAAAACUCGGUCGCGAAAAAGCAUUUUUAUUUUAAAACAUUUUAGACCAGAAUAAAAUGAUUAUUUUUAUCUGUUCUAUGGUUCUUGAUCAACUGACAGCGAGUGAUGCAUAAAAACAAUGUAUCACUUGUCUCGUUCGUCCAUUGGCCGUCCGUGUCACACUUUAACAUAAUAUUAAUAUACAACGCCUGAAAACGUUUUGAAAAAUUUCAACCAAACUUGCACAGAUUCUACUACAGGACAUAAAGUUGUGCGCCUUCUUUUUUAAAAUUUUCGAUUUGUUUGGUUUUCUUUACCAUAGAUAGAUUUUGACCGUUUCUGAUUGUAUCACUAUAUUAAUUUAUUUCCUCUUGAAAACGAAGUUAUUC
This 511-nucleotide long non-coding RNA is filed under the name Mytilus galloprovincialis (Mediterranean mussel). The record is from RNAcentral. Lineage: Eukaryota; Metazoa; Mollusca; Bivalvia; Mytilida; Mytilidae.